Schistosoma margrebowiei is the source of this 48-nucleotide non-coding RNA. NCBI's taxonomy places the organism in Eukaryota, Metazoa, Platyhelminthes, Trematoda, Strigeidida, Schistosomatidae. The record is from Rfam.
AUCCAGCUGAUGAGUCCCAAAUAGGACGAAAUGUGCGUCAAACUGGAU